RNAcentral lists this unclassified non-coding RNA (937 nucleotides) under Dactylorhiza angustata. RNAcentral's name for it is "partial external transcribed spacer". Lineage: Eukaryota; Viridiplantae; Streptophyta; Magnoliopsida; Asparagales; Orchidaceae. The record is from RNAcentral.
GKGUUCCCAGUAGCCUGACGUGCAAUAAAAAUGUCCCGUUGCCUCUUGGUGGUGAUUAUAAUGAAGUGUGCGGUCUUUUGGCCAGCGACAGUCCGCUCCUAAAUUGCCCGUUUUGCGUUUUGGCUUGCCCGCUGGYGYUUGCCGUAUACAAAAGUGGUUGAUGUGCCAUCUUGGCCUCUCCACAGUUGCCAUCGCUUAGAUCUCAUGGUGUGCCCCSAAAAUGUCCCUCCAUAUCUUAUGCGAUGCAUUUGUGAUGGUUCUUGUGCAUCGGAGCUUGCAUCGUCCCAAACAUUCGUGCCUCGCGGAGCUCUUUAUUCCCGUUUAAUGCUUGAUCCUUUUGGCUGCUGCUCAUCAUCGAUGCUUGGCAUCUGGUCGAUGCGGCGCUGUCAUUGGGGCUUGCUUAUUUGGGUUGAUUUUGAGACCGUUUGCGGCAUAUGAGUUGCAUUCAACAAUGCUCACUUUGAUCGGUGUAACCUCCAGUGUUGCUGAUCAUUGUUAAAAGCAUUCGUUUCAUUUUGUUGGCCACAAAUCACUUUGGAUGUGGUUGAUCUAUACGUCAUGUUGCUUGCAUUUUGAUCCCAUUAACGAUAUUGGCAUUGGGAUUUGAAGAAAGACUGAUCUYUGCCUCUGCUUUCAAUGCGAAAAGAGGCAAUGGUUUGCCAUUGCAGUUAUUAUUUGAUCAGCUACGGGGAGAGACGUAUGUGCCCAAAAUAACAUCAAGUCUGCUGCUUGCUGAUCAAUAACUMUGCAUGGUGUUGCUAUAKGGGGCGGCGAACUAAAARCAUAUCUCGGUGAGCCAUGGUCACCUUGCGAAUGUGAGUUACUUUUGGACGCAAUCUUGCCUCCUAACCUCGUGCAACCAUGAUUCCUCCCUUCCUUCCACCUGCUUGAUGGUGUAUGGCUGGGCUGGUUUCAUGUUGUGUUGAGGUUGUGCUAC